GAUGAACGCUGGCGGCGUGCUUAACACAUGCCAGUCGAACGGAAAGGCCCAAGCUUGCUUGGGUACUCGAGUGGCGAACGGGUGAGUAACGCGUGGGUGAUCUGCCCUGCACUUCGGGAUAAGCCUGGGAAACUGGGUCUAAUACCGGAUAGGACGAUGGUUUGGAUGCCAUUGUGGAAAGUUUUUUCGGUGUGGGAUGAGCUCGCGGCCUAUCAGCUUGUUGGUGGGGUAAUGGCCUACCAAGGCGUCGACGGGUAGCCGGCCUGAGAGGGUGUACGGCCACAUUGGGACUGAGAUACGGCCCAGACUCCUACGGGAGGCAGCAGUGGGGAAUAUUGCACAAUGGGCGCAAGCCUGAUGCAGCGACGCCGCGUGGGGGAUGACGGCCUUCGGGUUGUAAACUCCUUUCGCUAGGGACGAAGCGUUUUUGUGACGGUACCUGGAGAAGAAGCACCGGCUAACUACGUG
RNAcentral lists this ribosomal RNA (468 nucleotides) under uncultured bacterium. Its description in RNAcentral is "partial 16S ribosomal RNA". It matches the Rfam family "Bacterial small subunit ribosomal RNA", at positions 28 to 507 of the family's 1533-position model. The record is from RNAcentral.